Molecule: ribosomal RNA, 200 nt
Filed under: uncultured bacterium
Lineage: Bacteria
Description: partial 16S ribosomal RNA
Rfam family: Bacterial small subunit ribosomal RNA
Source: RNAcentral
UACGUAGGGGGCAAGCGUUGUCCGGAAUCAUUGGGCGUAAAGGGUGCGUAGGCGGCGCGGUAAGUCGGGUGUGAAAUCUCGGGGCUUAACUCCGAAACUGCAUUCGAUACUGCCGUGCUUGAGGACUGGAGAGGAGACUGGAAUUUACGGUGUAGCGGUGAAAUGCGUAGAUAUCGUAAGGAAGACCAGUGGCGAAGGCG